This 371-nucleotide ribosomal RNA is filed under the name uncultured bacterium. RNAcentral describes it as "bacterial SSU rRNA". It matches the Rfam family "Bacterial small subunit ribosomal RNA", at positions 527 to 896 of the family's 1533-position model. The record is from RNAcentral.
GAAGGGUGCAAGCGCUACUCGGAAUUACUGGGCGUAAAGCGUGCGUAGGUGGUGAGUUAAGUCUGUCGUGAAAGCCCCGGGCUCAACCUGGGAAUGGCGAUGGAUACUGGCUCGCUAGAGUGCGGUAGAGGGUGGUGGAAUUCCCGGUGUAGCAGUGAAAUGCGUAGAGAUCGGGAGGAACAUCAGUUGCGAAGGCGGCCACCUGGACCAGCACUGACACUGAGGCACGAAAGCGUGGGGAGCAAACAGGAUUAGAUACCCUGGUAGUCCACGCCCUAAACGAUGCGAACUGGACGUUGGGAGCAACUAGGCUCUCAGUGUCGAAGCUAACGCGUUAAGUUCGCCGCCUGGGGAGUACGGUCGCAAGACUG